Molecule: long non-coding RNA, 1450 nt
Organism: Herpailurus yagouaroundi (jaguarundi)
Lineage: Eukaryota; Metazoa; Chordata; Mammalia; Carnivora; Felidae
Exons: 4
Source: RefSeq, a predicted model, not a curated record
CUAUAGGAGUCAAGAGUGGCUGAGUGAUGGAGAUGAUAUGGUUGAGAGCUGAGAAAGUAAGCAGGCGGGAGAGCAGAAAUGGUAGCUGUGAGUGUAGCUAAACAUAACAAAGCUUGAUUUGUUGGUUUUUUACACCCAUACCCACAGGUUAUAUUUUAGUUGGAUUGUAUUUUUUUUUAAACCUUUUAUGUGAAAGUCAAUUGUUAGGCCAUCUAAACAUGCUCACCCAUCAAAACACCACCAGAAAGGGUUCCCAGGCUAGUGCCCAAAAAGUCUGUUUAGGAUCAUAAAGAUGAAAGAGAGCUUGGAAAUCACUGAGUAGCACACACCAAGGCAGAAAGCAUGGGCUCUGAAGUCAGACCACAUUUACUAAGUAGGUAACCUUAUGGGGUAUGUAAUCCCACUAGGCCUCAUUCUCCUUAUGUAUUACAUGGAACAAAACCAGCCUCACAGGCUUGUCAUGAGGAUGAAAUGAGACGAUCCUGGGCAAUGUGUGAAAGCUGAGUUGCUUGUUAUUCCCAUCACCACAUCGUGUUAUGUGAAAGAAACCUCGGGUCUGUCAUUGACAAGUAAUUGAGGCUUUGCUGGGUCACCCCAAGGGCUAAGGGAUUUGAUGCACUUGUGUUUCUACAACACUAGAAGCCCAAGAGUUGAGACUGUGAUCACACAUAUGCCACUAUUUUCUCCCCAUCAUAUAAAAGAAUAGCAUAGGGAAAUGAUGAAUGCCCAACUAGAGGAAUUAUUAAUUAAUCUGACCUCUUCUUUUUUACAUCUACAGAAACUGGGGCAUAGGGAGGUGAAAUGACUAGGCUUAAGGGCCCCAGCUAGACUGUGGCAGAACAGGAACUAGGAACCACGAACAAGUCAGCCAGGACCUUGCACUGCAGCCAUGACUUUUAAAGACCCUGGAAAGACACCCAUGGCACCAGAGGUGGCGAUUCAUCAAAUUAGAAUUACUCUAACAAGACACAGUGUAAAAUCUUUAGAGAAGGCCCCACGAGGAAGCCAGCUCAGCUUCCUUGCUUAUAGCUUCUGUUGCUUGAACUGGGGAUGAGACCUCUCAUCACGCCCCUCCAUCCUCCUAUUUCAGCUUCUAUGGGGAGCAAAUCGGAGCACGGGGCCAACAGGAUAUCAGCAAAGCCUGGGCCCAGGAUACCAUCACCAAAGAGGAAAAGAGGCAAGAAGCCUAUGGCUGAAUGAGAAGAGCAGUCCAAGUCCUUUAAGGAACAUUGGUCCCUCACUAAGACUUGCCCUCGAGAUCAAGGCAUCAUCACAUACAUUGGAGGCAGAAGAGUGUACCACUCAGAAGGGCUUAUUGGGCUAUGGAGCAACAGCUUCAAAAGCUCUUGGACCAAAGAACAGACACACCUGGGGACCUUUCCAACCAGUGACACAGAGCCCACAGAAGAGGUAGGGGGACAGUCCUGGGUGCCCACAGCAGAGGGGGUUG